AGCGUAACUGACGCUGAAGCUCGAAAGCGUGGGUAUCGAACAGGAUUAGAUACCCUGGUAGUCCACGCGGUAAACGAUGGAUGCUCGCUGUUUGCCUUUAGAGGUAAGUGGCCAAGCGAAAGCGUUAAGCAUCCCACCUGGGGAGUACGCCGGCAACGGUGAAACUCAAAGGAAUUGACGGGGGCCCGCACAAGCGGAGGAACAUGUGGUUUAAUUCGAUGAUACGCGAGGAACCUUACCCGGGCUUGAACUGCCAGCGGACGAUUCAGAGAUGAUGAGGCCCUUCGGGGCGCUGGUGGAGGUGCUGCAUGGUUGUCGUCAGCUCGUGCCGUGAGGUGUCGGCUUAAGUGCCAUAACGAGCGCAACCCCUGUCUUCAGUUGCCAUCAGGUAAAGCUGGGCACUCUGUAGAUACUGCCACCGCAAGGUGUGAGGAAGGUGGGGAUGACGUCAAAUCAGCACGGCCCUUACGUCCGGGGCUACACACGUGUUACAAUGGCGCAUACAGAGAGUUGGCUGCGGGUAAUCGCAGUCUAAUCAUUAAAAUGCGUCGUAGUUCGGAUUGGGGUCUGCAACCCGACCCCAUGAAGCUGGAUUCGCUA
This 600-nucleotide ribosomal RNA is filed under the name uncultured bacterium. RNAcentral's name for it is "bacterial SSU rRNA". It matches the Rfam family "Bacterial small subunit ribosomal RNA", at positions 733 to 1337 of the family's 1533-position model. The record is from RNAcentral.